This 6385-nucleotide long non-coding RNA is filed under the name Nicotiana tabacum (common tobacco). Its description in RNAcentral is "long non-coding RNA (NTAB_LNC009048)". Lineage: Eukaryota; Viridiplantae; Streptophyta; Magnoliopsida; Solanales; Solanaceae. The record is from RNAcentral.
AUCUCUACUUUUGUGCCUCAAGAUCAACAUGCCCAAACACCAAUACAAACAAACGAACAAAAUUAUUCUGCCCCAAUUUUUACUACGAAAAUUUCGUGAGUUAUCUGCAACACAAAUCUAAGUUAUUUCUUUGAAUGCAAUAAAAAUUAGGAUUGUAUAUUCUAGAGAAUAGGGAGUGAAGCCCUAAAUUGGGAAGAUUGCCAGAUUAUGUUGGAAAGAUGACCGGAUUGUGCCAGAAAAGAAAAAGGGUAAAAUAAGGUCCCCGGGUUAUGCCGGAGAAAAGGAAAAAGGUCAUUGGGUUAUGCCGGGGAGGUCCACGGGUUAUGCCGGGAGAAAAGAAAAAAGGUCCUUGGGUUAUGCCAGAGAGGUUCGCGGGUUAUGCCGGGAGAAAAGGAAAACGGUCCCCGGGUUAUGCCGGGGAGGUCCACGGGUUAUGCCGAGAGAAAAGGAAAAAGGUCCCUGGGUUAUGCUGGGGAGGUCCACGGGUUAUGCCGGGAGAAAUGAAAACCGUCCCCGGGUUAUGCAGGAAGAAAAGAAAAGGGUCCCCGGGUUAUGUCGGGGAGGUUCCCGGGUUAUGCCAGGAGAAAAGGAAAAAAGGUCCCUGGAUUAUGCCAGGGAGGUCCACGGGUUUUGUCAAGAGAAAAGGAAAAAAGGUCCUCGGGUAUGCUGGGAGAAAAGGAAAAAGGUCGUCGGGCUAUGCCGGGAAUGUCCACGGGUUAUGCUGGGAGAAAAGAAAAAAAGGUCCUUGGUUAUGCCAGGGAGGUCCGCUGGAUAUCCCGGGAGAAAAGGAAAAGGUCCUCGGGAUAUGCCGGGGAGGUCCACGGGUUAUGCCGGGAGAAAAUGAAAAAUGUCCCUGGGUUAUGCCAUGGAGUUCCACGGGUUAUGCAGGGGAUAACUAGGGAAUGGGGCCCUAUCUUGGAAGGAUGCAGCUAGAGAUUGGAGGCCAUAUGCUACCAUGAUUUUGAAAUUUCCUUUUUUUAGUUUAAAAAAAUGAGUAAAAAUUCAGGAAAGAAUUUGAAGAAGACUUCCUUUUGGAUUGAUUAUUGCUGCAAAGCUAUUUCUAGCUCUUGCGAAUUUUCCUUUUGGUUGUACCUUCUUCUUGUAUGAUUGCUUUGGAUUGUACCUAUUUCAAUUUUUCAAACAAAGAACAAUUUGUUAGUUUGAAACGCUUGUUGGAUUUGUGGCCUUGGGCGCUUUAGUCACUUGAUUUCAACGCGGCUUCUUUGAUGAAGAUCUCAACUACAACUGCUUGUUUCCUGAGGACCGAUUUCAUUUCAGGCCAUGGAGAACCCCUUAUUUUUCUAGACUUUGCCAUACGAUUGGUCUGUGGAACUCAACCUUAUCGAUUUCAUUUUGUCCUCAUACGCCAUUCCCUUUUGACUCCUUUUUUUUACCCUUUUUUUUAACUUCGGAGCAUUGGGGAACCUUUGGCUCCUCAAACAUUGCAGCAAUGGCAAGUCGCGUUGGACUCCAACUUUGUUUCGCCUUCAUAGGCCUAUCAUUUAUGGAUUCUUUCUUCUGACUUCAAUUUCAGAGUAUUUGGGAUCCCUUGGCUUUUCAAAUCUUCGUCGAGACAGUUAGCCACGUAUGACUUAACCUUUUUCACAUUUAUUUGCCUUUAUAGGCACUUCAAUUUGAUUUUCUCCUUCCGAGAGUUUUGGUUUCGAAAAGGUCGACUUGAUGCACUCGAUGAGACUUGGUACUUUCUUUAGAUUUGGCUUUUAUUAAGCGGGACCCUGUAAAACCAAUCUUGCCAACUUUUCUUUGUAUUAGUUUCGGAAACAGAGUUAGACCGAAAGGGAUUCAAGGAAAAGUAAACAAAGGACAAAAAAAUUAAUUUAAAGAGAAGUGUCCCUUUCGGGGAGGAAAGGAGGACUUAUCUGGGGUGCAUGCAGACGUCAAUAGACAUGACAUGCUUCUUGACUAGGUGCCAAAUCCGCACAAACUAAUCCAACUUUUCAUAAACCCAUUGCGGCCCUUGUUUCAAAAUCGAGAAACCUUGCCAGGACUCUUUCAAUACCAAUGGUGUUGAGGGGUUUCUUUGUUUCGAUCAACGACGCCUUUUGCAGGUUUUUGCCAAUCGACCUCUCUCAUUUUUCUUCUUACCAUUGCCUUAUAGUGCUAUUUUAUGAGUUUUCACUAACAAGACUCUUUCAUUUUCAAUUUCUCUGCUCACCAUCGCAUCACGGUGCCCAUAGGUUUUCACCAAUAAGACUCCCUCAUUUUAUUUCUCUCAUUUUAACUGCAUCAGAUCUAAAUAACUGCGUUUUUUCCGAUUUUUUUUUGAAAACCUUUCGUCGAUUAAUCGGAAGGAUUUGAACAAGGUUUGGGGUAACAAGAAAUGGGAUAGAAUUACAACUUUGGAACAGUCCAGGUGGGAUCAUCGCCGAACCACUAUAACAUCUGCCCUAGUUUCACUUUCGGGGAGGGGGAACUAGAUUUUUAUUUUGUUGUGACUGAACCCCAGAGAGAGGCUGCCUACGUAUCCUUUCAGAAUCAAGUCGAACGUAGUUCAGGGAAAACAUUAUAUUUUUGUUUUUGUUUUUGUUUUUGUUUUUUGUUUUUUUAUUACAAAAUCUUCAAGUUCCAAAGAGGGUAAUGAAAGAAAUAUAACCAGCUCAAAGGGUUUAGUAAAAGAUUGGAGUGUUUGGGGGUAACGAGAAUGAAACCCUUCGUCAUACCAAUCAAGAAAUGCUAUUGUUGCAGAAGGUUUAGACGUAAUACCAUUUGACUGCAUCUGCAUUCACCUGCAUUCACAGCUGUUUCAGGGUCAUUCCCUUUAAUGUCUCCCAAAUACAAUGCCUUUUUUGGCAACAUUUUUCUAAUAAUGUAUGGGCCUUUCCAGUUGGGAGAAAAUUUUCCUUUUUCUUCCUGAUGAUGGGGGAGAAUACGCCUCAAAACGAGUUGACCCACUUCAAAAUUUCUAGGCCACACUUUCUUGUUGUAGGCACGGGCCAUUUUUUGUUGGUACCACUGCUCGUGGCAGGCCGCGGCCAUUCGCUUUUCAUCAAUCAGGGUUAACUGUUCCAAACGGGUUUUGACCCACUCACUGUCUUCAAUUUCAGCCUUAACAAUAAUCCGGAAAGAAGGUAUUUCUACCUCUGCGGGUAUUACGGCUUCAGUGCCAUAAACCAAUAGGUAUGGGGUUGCUUCGACCGAUGUGGGAACCAUAGAGCGAUACCCUAACAACGCAAAAGGCAACUUUUUAUGCCACUGUCUGGAACAUUGAAUCAUCUUUCUCAAAAUCUUUUUAAUGUUCUUAUUUGCUGCUUCGACGGCACCAUUGGCUUUAGGCCGAUAAGGAGUAGAGUUCGGAUGCGUUAUUUUGAAUUGUUCGCAUAUCUCUCUUAUUAAAUGACUAUUCAAGUUUGCAGCUUUAUCUGUGAUGAUGGUUGUAGGGAUACCGAAAUGACAGAUAAGAUUGGAGUGCACGAAAUCUACCACAACUUUCUUGGUGAUAAAUUUGAGCGUGAUUGCUUCAACCCACUUCGUGAAAUAGUCGAUGGCAACUAGUAUGAAUCUGUGUCCAUUUGAAGAUUUCGGCUCAAUCGGCCCAAUGACAUCCAUGACUCAAGCAACAAACGGCCAAGGUGCUGACAUGGGAUGCAGUUCUGUAGGCGGUGCAUGAAUCAAAUCACUGUGCACCUGGCAUUGAUGACAUUUCCAGACGAAACUAAAGAAGUCUUUUUCCAUAGUCAUCCAAUAAUAACCCGCUCGAAGGAUUUUCUUUGCCAAAACAUACCCAUUCAUGUGGGGUCCGCACGCUCCUACGUGCACUUCAUACAUGAUUUUUCCGGCGUCUUCGGCAUCCACACAUCUUAGCAAGUUGAGGUUCGGGGUCCUUUUAUACAAGACAUCACCACUCGAGAAGAAACCACUUGCGUGUCAUCUAAUGGUUCUCUUUUGGUCUCAACUGGCUUGCUCGGGGUAUUCUUUAGUUUUCAAAAAUCUUUUGAUGUCAUGAUACCAUUGCUAAACAUUUGGUUCUGCCUCAACUGUAUUACAGUAGCUGUGUCUUUCCCUGAUUUGAUUUUUCGAGGGAUCAAUGUGGGCAUUGCCUGGGUAUGGCAGCAUCGAGGCUAAAGUGGCAAGUGCGUCAGCUAGUUUAUUGUGGCAACUAGGGAUGUACCUGAACUCUAUUGACUUGAAUCGCUUUCCAAGAUCUUCCACAUGUUGCCUAUAAGGAAUAAGCUUGACAUAUCGGGUUUCCCAUUCUCCUUGAGCUUGUCAGAUAAUUAGAUCUGAGUGUCUCGUGACUAAUAGUCCUUCAACAUUUUGGUCGAUUGCCAUGUUCAUACCCAUAAUACAGGCUUCGUACUCGGCAGUGUUGUUCGUGCAGAAGAAUCGGAGUUGUGGCAGGAUAAUUCUGACCAGUGGGUGAGAUCAAGAUUGCCCCAAUUCCAACACCUUUUGUGUUUACUUCCCCAUCAAAGAACACUUUCCAUGAAUUGGUGUCUUCACAUAUUGCCUCAACUGAAUUUGUCACACCUCCUUUCUUCACUACACCCCGAAGAGGGUGUAUAUAAGGGAGUUUUUUCCAACUUAAAGUGACAAUCGAAAUGGGAUUAUUUAUUUGAAGAUUCAGAGUCGCCACUUGGGAUAAUUAAUGGUGUCCCAAGUCACCAGUUGAAUCCUGAAUCGAGGAAAAGCUUGACUCAGUUUAACAGUAUGCGAACCAGAAAUCUGAGUAAGGAAUUUUGUUAACCCAGGAGAAGGUGUUAGGCAUUACCGAGUUUUGUGGUUCUAGCACGGUCGCUCAACUGUUAUAUUCGGAUUAAUUAUCUGAUUUUAAACAAUUAUGAACCUAUGUGCAGAUUUUAGUUUUAACCGCCUUUAUUCAUUUGUUUUGAAGAAAAUUGCAACAUUAUUAAAACACAUCUCGAACCAAGUCACAUAAAUGCACCAGUGGUUUUUGACAUAUCGUAACAUCGUUGAGAUUUGGAUUUGGGCCAAAUAAAUGCGCACCCGAAUUUAGGAAAGUAAUAUUAUUAAAUGACGUGCCUAAAGCAACUACGCGUUUUAUGAAUAUUAAAGGCCUAAGCAUGCUCCUAAGGAUCCAAAAACACAUCCAUAAGCAAUGUCUAAACAACAUACAACUCCAAUCAUUACAAAAUUCAAUUGACAUUGUUACUCAAUCCCAAUAUCACUUUAGUCUAAUCCACUUUCAUGUUUAGCCCACAAAUCGCACAACUUAUUACUUCUCGUCAAUUUUCCAACUUAUAUUCUUGCAUCCUAAUUUCGAAACAUCUUCUUUUUACCAAAAACGUUUCUUAAGACUUGAUUCACCUUCAUGUUAUCAACUACAUGGAGCAAUUGCUCAAAACACAGUAAACUCCGCUAAGGCUACACACCAUAUCAACCACAAACUAUUUAAAUCAAACUCAGACAAUUUACACAAAAUUAAAUAUAUAAACACAGAAUCGUACCAAGAGCAAAGUAAAGAGCAUCAACUCACAUAAUCAGCCAAAUAAAAUUAUGAGCAGACAAGGUCGCUAAAAUUGGAAAAUGUAGGAACAUGGACCUUAAGACAGAAACUAACAAAGCUAAAAUGAAAAUUCAUCCAAAAUCUCAAAUCGUCACAAACUCAUGUUUUACUCGGUUCUUAAUUUCACCUUUUCGAACUCAGCGAAGACGUAUUCAAUAAAAUGAAGAGUGUCCAUUGACUGUCAUUAAUCAGUGAAAUUCCAUAAUAGUAACCGAUUACUUAUUCAAUUUCAGCAACUAGGCUCGACAUAAUUAUUGGAACAAAGCAGCCAUUCGAUAGUCACAUAUCAACGAAUCCACAUGAUCACACCAAAACAGAGCAAGAAAAACUGAGGGACGAGACUAACCUGAAAGAAUCUUUAAAAACAAAUUUCAGAAUCGAAAAUAACCUCGCCUCAAUCUCAAUACCCAAAUCGUAAACUCAGUCGGACUAAACGGUGGAAAUUCUGAACUCCACGGCCCCUCAAUCAGUUUCCAUGAAAGAACAGUCAAAACAAGACUGAAUCUCUUUUUUUCUUAUUUUUGAAUUAAACCAAACUAAAAAACAAACUAAAAUCAAAGAUGGAAAACCAAAAUCAGAAGAUUAAUUAAGGUUGAAUUAAGUGUGAAGAGGGUGAGGAAUGACUGAUUUUUUGGGGGAUAAACAGUGGUGAUUUGCUGCGCUGGUUCAGGGAGGUUGAAGAUGAAGGGGUGUCGCCGUUUUCCAGCCACUCGCCGGUGAGGUAGUAGCGGAACGAAGGGGUGAGGCGUGGGGUUUUCUGGUUUGUCGGUUCUACUGCUAAUGGCGUCGAUGGUCCGUUGAAGAAGAAGAGAGAGACGAUAUGGGUAGGGUUAUUUUGGUCGAAGAUGGCUGAUGAUGAAGGAUGAGCUCAAAGGGGCGGGGGUAUGUGAAGAAGACGAU